RNAcentral lists this ribosomal RNA (448 nucleotides) under uncultured bacterium. RNAcentral's name for it is "bacterial SSU rRNA". It matches the Rfam family "Bacterial small subunit ribosomal RNA", at positions 330 to 793 of the family's 1533-position model. The record is from RNAcentral.
GCCAGACUCCUACGGGAGGCAGCAGUGGGGGAUAUUGCACAAUGGGGGGAACCCUGAUGCAGCGACGCCGCGUGGGUGAAGGAGCGUUUCGGCGCGUAAAGCCCUCUCGGCAGGGAAGAAGGAGGACGGUACCUGACUAAGAAGCCCCGGCUAACUACGUGCCAGCAGCCGCGGUAAUACGUAGGGGGCAAGCGUUAUCCGGAUUUACUGGGUGUAAAGGGGGCGCAGACGGCAGCGCAAGCCAGGAGUGAAAGCCCGGGGCCCAACCCCGGGACUGCUCUUGGAACUGCGCGGCUGGAGUGCAGGAGGGGCAGGCGGAAUUCCUGGUGUAGCGGUGAAAUGCGUAGAUAUCAGGAGGAACGCCGGUGGCGAAGGCGGCCUGCUGGACUGCGACCGACGUUGAGGCCCGAAAGCGUGGGGAGCAAACAGGAUUAGAUACCCCGGUACG